RNAcentral lists this small RNA (28 nucleotides) under Bombyx mori (domestic silkworm). RNAcentral describes it as "ovarian small RNA-7813". The record is from RNAcentral. Lineage: Eukaryota; Metazoa; Arthropoda; Insecta; Lepidoptera; Bombycidae.
UCUUCGCUGUCCAAGCUGAGUGUAGGUC